RNAcentral lists this transfer RNA (68 nucleotides) under Urocitellus parryii (Arctic ground squirrel). RNAcentral describes it as "Spermophilus parryii (Arctic ground squirrel) tRNA". It matches the Rfam family "tRNA". Rfam says of the family: Transfer RNA (tRNA) molecules are approximately 80 nucleotides in length. Their secondary structure includes four short double-helical elements and three loops (D, anti-codon, and T loops). Lineage: Eukaryota; Metazoa; Chordata; Mammalia; Rodentia; Sciuridae. The record is from Rfam by way of RNAcentral. RNAcentral also lists the same sequence under 2 other names.
GGGGCUGUAGCUCAGUGAUAGAGCACUUGCCUAGCAUGUGUGAGCUCUGGGUUCGAUUCUCAGCACCA